This 85-nucleotide transfer RNA is filed under the name Felis catus (domestic cat). It matches the Rfam family "tRNA". From Rfam's summary of the family: Transfer RNA (tRNA) molecules are approximately 80 nucleotides in length. Their secondary structure includes four short double-helical elements and three loops (D, anti-codon, and T loops). RNAcentral also lists the same sequence under 2 other names. Lineage: Eukaryota; Metazoa; Chordata; Mammalia; Carnivora; Felidae. The record is from Rfam by way of RNAcentral.
GCCUGGGUGGCUCAGUCGGUUGAGCGCCUGACUUCAGCUCAGGUCAUGAUCUCGCGGUCUGUGAGUUCGAGCCCCGCGUCGGGCU